Molecule: ribosomal RNA, 462 nt
Filed under: uncultured bacterium
Lineage: Bacteria
Description: partial 16S ribosomal RNA
Rfam family: Bacterial small subunit ribosomal RNA
Source: RNAcentral
GACGAACGCUGGCGGCGUGCUUAACACAUGCAAGUCGAGCGGAAAGGCCCUUCGGGGUACUCGAGCGGCGAACGGGUGAGUGACACGUGAGUAAGCUGCCCCAGACUUUGGGAUAACCAUCGGAUAAGGGGGCUAAUACCGGAUCCGACACAGCGUCGCAUGGGGUCGGUGUGGAAAGGAUGUCGGUUUGGGAUGGGCUCGCGGCCUAUCAGCUUGUUGGUGGGGUGGUGGCCUACCAAGGCGACGACGGGUAGCCGGCCUGAGAGGGCGACCGGCCACACUGGGACUGAGAUACGGCCCAGACUCCUACGGGAGGCAGCAGUGGGGAAUAUUGCACAAUGGGCGGAAGCCUGAUGCAGCGACGCCGCGUGCGGGAUGACGGCCUUCGGGUUGUAAACCGCUUUCAGCUGUGACGAAGCGUAAGUGACGGUACCUGCAGAAGAAGCGCCGGCUAACUACGUG